CCUGGCGGCACUAGCGCGGUGGUCCCACCUGACCCCAUGCCGAACUCAGAAGUGAAACGCCGUAGCGCCGAUGGUAGUGUGGGGUCUCCCCAUGUGAGAGUAGGGAACUGCCAG
RNAcentral lists this ribosomal RNA (114 nucleotides) under Klebsiella pneumoniae. RNAcentral also lists the same sequence under 4 other names. Lineage: Bacteria; Pseudomonadati; Pseudomonadota; Gammaproteobacteria; Enterobacterales; Enterobacteriaceae. The record is from RNAcentral.